RNAcentral lists this ribosomal RNA (1100 nucleotides) under uncultured bacterium. RNAcentral's name for it is "bacterial SSU rRNA". It matches the Rfam family "Bacterial small subunit ribosomal RNA", at positions 319 to 1405 of the family's 1533-position model. The record is from RNAcentral.
CUCCGGGGGGGUUCGUAUUUCCUACGGGAGGCAGCAGUGGGGAAUUUUGGACAACGGGGGCAACCCUCCCAUCUCAGACCAUGCCGCGUGAGUGAAGAAGGCCUUCGGGUUGUAAAGCUCUUUCGGCCGGGAAAAAAUCGCAUGGGUUAAUACCCUGUGUGGAUGAUGGUACCGGAAUAAGAAGCACCGGCUAACUACGUGCCAGCAGCCGCGGUAAUACGUAGGGUGCGAGCGUUAAUCGGAAUUACUGGGCGUAAAGCGUGCGCAGGCGGUUUGAUAAGACAGGCGUGAAAUCCCCGGGCUCAACCUGGGAACUGCGUUUGUGACUGUCUCACUAGAGUACGGCAGAGGGGGGUGGAAUUCCACGUGUAGCAGUGAAAUGCGUAGAGAUGUGGAGGAACACCAAUGGCGAAGGCAGCCCCCUGGGUCGAUACUGACGCUCAUGCACGAAAGCGUGGGUAGCAAACAGGAUUAGAUACCCUGGUAGUCCACGCCCUAAACGAUGUCAACUAGGUGUUGGGUGGGUAAAACCAUUUAGUACCGUAGCUAACGCGAGAAGUUGACCGCCUGGGGAGUACGGCCGCAAGGUUAAAACUCAAAGGAAUUGUCGGGGACCCGCACAAGCGGUGGAUGAUGUGGAUUAAUUCGAUGCAACGCGAAAAACCUUACCUACCCUUGACAUGUCCAGGAGCCCGAAGAGAUUUGGGUGUGCUCGAAAGAGAACUGGAACACAGGUGCUGCAUGGCUUGUCGUCAGCUCGUGUCGUGAGAUGUUGGGUUAAGUCCCGCAACGAGCGCAACCCUUGUCGUUAAUUGCCAUCAUUUAGUUGGGCACUUUAACGAGACUGCCGGUGACAAACCGGAGGAAGGUGGGGAUGACGUCAAGUCCUCAUGGCCCUUAUGGGUAGGGCUUCACACGUCAUACAAUGGUCGGUACAAAGGGUUGCCAACCCGCGAGGGGGAGCUAAUCCCAUAAAGCCGGUCGUAGUCCGGAUCGCAGGCUGCAACUCGCCUGCGUGAAGUCGGAAUCGCUAGUAAUCGUGGAUCAGCAUGUCACGGUGAAUACGUUCCCGGGCCUUGUACACCCCCCCUUAACGUAUG